GCUUGUCUCAAAGAUUAAGCCAUGCAUGUCUAAGUAUAAGCAAUCUAUACUGUGAAACUGCGAAUGGCUCAUUAAAUCAGUUAUCGUUUAUUUGAUAGUACCUUACUACAUGGAUACCUGUGGUAAUUCUAGAGCUAAUACAUGCUAAAAACCCCGACUUCGGGAGGGGUGUAUUUAUUAGAUAAAAAACCAAUGCCCCUCGGGGCUCCUUGGUGAAUCAUAAUAACUUAACGAAUCGCAUGGCCUUGCGCCGGCGAUGGUUCAUUCAAAUUUCUGCCCUAUCAACUUUCGAUGGUAGGAUAGUGGCCUACCAUGGUGGCAACGGGUAACGGGGAAUUAGGGUUCGAUUCCGGAGAGGGAGCCUGAGAAACGGCUACCACAUCCAAGGAAGGCAGCAGG
This 399-nucleotide ribosomal RNA is filed under the name uncultured Aspergillus. RNAcentral's name for it is "partial small subunit ribosomal RNA". It matches the Rfam family "Eukaryotic small subunit ribosomal RNA", at positions 30 to 432 of the family's 1831-position model. Lineage: Eukaryota; Fungi; Ascomycota; Eurotiomycetes; Eurotiales; Aspergillaceae. The record is from RNAcentral.